RNAcentral lists this ribosomal RNA (460 nucleotides) under uncultured bacterium. RNAcentral's name for it is "bacterial SSU rRNA". It matches the Rfam family "Bacterial small subunit ribosomal RNA", at positions 28 to 524 of the family's 1533-position model. The record is from RNAcentral.
GAUGAAUGCUGGCGGCGUGCCUAAUACAUGCAAGUCGAGCGGUAAGGCCCUUCGGGGUACACGAGCGGCAGACGGCUGAGUAACGCGUGGGGAACAUGCCCCAAAGUGAGGGAUAACGCACCGAAAGGUGUGCUAAUACCGCAUAUGGUCUUCGGAUUAAAGGAUUUAUCCGCUUUGGGAGUGGCCCGCGUACGAUUAGAUUGUUGGUGAGGUAACGGCUCACCAAGUCGACGAUCGUUAACUGGUCUGAGAGGAUGAUCAGUCAGACUGGAACUGAGACACGGUCCAGACUCCUACGGGAGGCAGCAGUAAGGAAUCUUCCACAAUGGGCGAAAGCCUGAUGGAGCAACGCCGCGUGCAGGAUGAAGGCCCUCGGGUCGUAAACUGCUUUAUGAGUGAAGAAUAUGACGGUAACUCAUGAAUAAGCACCGGCUAACUACGUGCCAGCAGCCGCGGUAAU